GACGAACGCUGGCGGCGUGCUUAACACAUGCAAGUCGAACGCUGAAGCUUGGUGCUUGCACUGGGUGGAUGAGUGGCGAACGGGUGAGUAAUACGUGAGUAACCUGCCCUUGACUCUGGGAUAAGCCUGGGAAACUGGGUCUAAUACUGGAUACGACAUGCCACUGCGUGGUGGUGUGUGGAAAGGGUUUUACUGGUUUUGGAUGGGCUCACGGCCUAUCAGCUUGUUGGUGGGGUAAUGGCCUACCAAGGCGACGACGGGUAGCCGGCCUGAGAGGGUGACCGGCCACACUGGGACUGAGACACGGCCCAGACUCCUACGGGAGGCAGCAGUGGGGAAUAUUGCACAAUGGGCGGAAGCCUGAUGCAGCGACGCCGCGUGAGGGAUGACGGCCUUCGGGUUGUAAACCUCUUUCAGCACGGAAGAAGCGAGAGUGACGGUACGUGCAGAAGAAGCGCCGGCUAACUACGUG
RNAcentral lists this ribosomal RNA (472 nucleotides) under uncultured bacterium. RNAcentral describes it as "partial 16S ribosomal RNA". It matches the Rfam family "Bacterial small subunit ribosomal RNA", at positions 28 to 507 of the family's 1533-position model. The record is from RNAcentral.